This 498-nucleotide ribosomal RNA is filed under the name uncultured bacterium. Its description in RNAcentral is "partial 16S ribosomal RNA". It matches the Rfam family "Bacterial small subunit ribosomal RNA", at positions 28 to 523 of the family's 1533-position model. The record is from RNAcentral.
GAUGAACGCUAGCGGCAGGCCUAAUACAUGCAAGUCGAGGGAGAAUGUUGGAUUCGUCUGACAUGAAACCGGCGCACGGGUGCGUAACACGUAUGCAACCUACCUUUAACUGGGGUAUAGCUCAGAGAAAUCUGAAUUAAUCCCCCAUAAGACUACGACAUGGCAUCAUGAUGUAGUUAAAGCUCCGGCGGUUAAGGAUGGGCAUGCGGUACAUUAGCUAGUUGGUGAGGUAAUGGCUCACCAAGGCUACGAUGUAUAGGGGGUCUGAGAGGGGGAUCCCCCACACUGGUACUGAGGCACGGACCAGACUCCUACGGGAGGCAGCAGUAGGGAAUAUUGGUCAAUGGACGCAAGUCUGAACCAGCCAUGCCGCGUGAAGGAUGAAGGCCCUAUGGGUCGUAAACUUCUUUUAUUAGGGAAGAAAAAACGGGAUGCGUCCUGUACUGACGGUACUUAAUGAAUAAGGAUCGGCUAACUUCGUGCCAGCCGCCGCGGUAA